Molecule: long non-coding RNA, 4554 nt
Organism: Cyprinus carpio carpio
Lineage: Eukaryota; Metazoa; Chordata; Actinopteri; Cypriniformes; Cyprinidae
Source: Ensembl
CCCAUUAUCACUUGCUUUCAACGGCAGUAUUUCAUAAGACUGCAUGUUUAGGGAGGAAUGCACUGUUGCUUGGUAUAUCCAGUUUGGUUAAAGGAGGAAUGCAUUAAAAAUGCACCGCCACCGGUUUGUGUCAUGUGACUCAAAACAGAACUAAUAAAAAUGUGAAAUUUGAGGAAAGCAGUUAUUUCCAUUUAUCGAGGGACUUACAACUUCACCUGUGUGUGAACAAAAUGGAUUGGGUGGUCUAUUUGACAGCUACCAAGAUGAGUAGAAAAACACUGACAAUUGCAUUGUUAAGUUUAGUGUUUUGUAGCGCAUCAGCUGAGUCAGCAAACUCACCUACAACUGAAUCUAUGACUGUCACAUCAUACUCACCUGCACAAACGACACAAUUCUGCUUACAACUGACACAACAGCAUAUACAAUACUGUUCAACAACAACUGAAACUCUGUUUACAACCACUGCCAAACCAACACAAACACCUGAAUCAACAAACUCACCUAUAACUGCAACAACUGAAUCUACGACUGUUAGAACAAACACAGCUACAACUAAAACUCGGCUUACAACUACAAGCCUUCCUACAGAAAAAACAACACAACUCACAACUGAGCAAUCAACUACAUCUGAACAAAGCACCACAAUGCAGUCAGCAAAUUCAUCCCUACCUACAACAAGUACAGCUCAAUCUACAACUGAGGUUACAACAAACUCACCUACAACUGCAACUCUGCUUACAACUCCAGGCCCUCCUACAGAAACAACAACAACACAACUUACAUCUACAACUGAACUAACAACCACAACUGCUUCAUCAUCUACACCUGAACCAACAACCACAACUGUUUUAACAUCUACGACAGAACAAUCAACUACAUCUGAACACAGCACCACAACGCAGACGGCAACAACAUCCCUAUCUACAACAAGUACAGCCCCAUCUACAACUGAGGUUACAACAAACUCACCUACAACUGCAACUUUGCUUACAACUCCAGGCCCUCCUACAGAAACAACAACAACACAACUUACAUCUACGGCUGAACCAAUAAUCACAACUGUUUUAACAUCUACAACAGAACAAUCAACUACAUCAGAACAAAGCACCACAACACAGAUGGCAACAAUAUCCCUACUUACAACAAGUACAGCUGAAUCUACAACUGAGGUUACAACAAACUCACCUACAACUGCAACUCUGCUUACAACUCCAGGCCCUCCUACAGAAACAACAACAACACAACUUACAUCUACAACUGAACUAACAACCACAACUGCUUCAACAUCUACAACUGAACAAUCAGCUACAUCUGAACAAAGCACCCCAAUGCAGACAACAACAUCAUCCCUACCUACAACAAGUACAGCUCAAUCUACAACCCUGGUUACAAAAAACUCGCCUACAACUACAUCGCAGGUUACAACUUCAGCCCCUCCUACAGAAACAACAACACAACUUACAUCUUCUGCUGAACCAACAACCACAACUGUUUUAUCAUCUACAAAUGAACCAACAACCACAACUGAUUCAUCAUAUACAACUGUACUAACAACCACAACUGCUUCAACAUCUACAACUGAACAAUCAACUACAUCUGAACACAGCACCACAACGCAGGCGGCAACAACAUCCCUAUCUACAACAAGUACAGCUCAAUCUACAACUGAGAUUACAACAAACUCACCUACAACUGCAACUCUUCUUUCAACUCCAGGCCCUCCAACAGAGACAACGCAACUUACAUCUACUUCUGAACCAACAACCACAACUGCUUCAACAUCUAAAACUGAACAGUCAACUACAUCUGAACAAAGCACAACAACAGAGACAGCAACAACAUCACCACCACCUACCACAAGUUCAGCACAAUCGACAACUGAGGUUACAACAAACUCACCUACAACUGCAACUCUUCUUACAACUCCAGGCCCUCCAGCAGAGACAAUGCAACUUACAUCUACUGCUGAACCAAAAACCACAACUGCUUCAACAUCUAAAACUGAACAGUCAACUACAUCUGAACAAAGCACCCCAAUGCAGACAACAACAUCAUCCCUACCUACAACAAGUACAGCUCAAUCUACAACCCUGGUUACAACAAACUCACCUACAACUACACCUCGGGUUACAACUAUAGCCCCUCCUACAGAAACAACACAACUUACAUCUACAGCUGAACCAACAACCACAACUGCUUCAUCAUCUACAAAUGAACUAAUAACCACAACUGCUUCAUCAUCUACAACUGAACAAUCAACUACAUCUGAAAAAAGCACCACAAUGCAGACAGUAAAAACAUCCCUACCUACAAGUACAGCUCAAUCUACAACUGAGGUAACAACAAACUCACCUACAACUGCAUCUCUGCUUACAACUACAGCCCCUCCUAUAGAAACAACAACAACACAAUUUACAUCUGCGGUUGAACCAACAACCACAACUGUUUUAACAUCUACAACUCAACCAACAACCACAACUCCGUCAACGUCUACAACUGAACAAUCAACUACAUCUGAACAAAGCACCACAAUGCAGACAGCAACAACUACUCUACCUACAACAAAUACAGCUCAAUCUACAACCCUGGUUACAACAAACUCAGCUAUACCUACAUCUCAGGUUACAACUACAGCCCCUUCAACAGAAACAACAGAAACACAACUUACAUCUACGGCUGAACCAACAACCACAACUUUUUUAACAUCUACAACUGAACCAAUAACCACAACUGUUUUAAUAUCUACAACAGAACAAUCAACUACAUCAGAACAAAGCACCACAACACAGAUAGGAACAAAAUCCCAACCUACAACAAGUAUAGCUCAAUCUACAACUGAGGUUUCAACAAACUCACCAAGAACUACAUUUCAAGUUACAACUACAGGCCCUCCUAAAGAAACAACAACAACAAAACUUACAUCUAUUGCUGAACCAACAACCACAAUUGCUGCAACAUCUACAACUGAACAAUCAACAACAUCUGAACACAGCACCACAAUGCAGACAGCAACAACAUCCAUACCUACAACAAGUACAGCUCAAUCUACAACUGAGGUUACAACAAACUCACCUACAACUGCAACUCUGUUUACAACUACAGCCCCUCCUACAGAAACAACAACCACACAACUUACAUCUACAGCUGAACCAACAACCACAACUGCGUCAACAUCUACAACUGAAAAAUCAACUAUACCCGAACAAAGCACCACAACACAGACAGCAACAACAUCCCUACAUACAACAAGUACAGCUCAAUCUACAACCCUGAUUUCAACAAACUCAGCUACACCUACAUCUCGGGUUACAAUUACAGCCCCUCCUACAGAAACAACAACAACACAACUUACAUCUACAGCUGAACCAACAACCAUAACUGUUUUAACAUCUACGGCUGAACCAACAACCACAACUGUUUUAACAUCUACAACAAAACAAUCAAUUACAUCCCAACACAGCACCACAACACAGACAGCAACAACCACCACCACAACAUCUAAUGUCAAUCCGAAUACAACAGCAUCAACAGCAACCACAACAUCUACUGUCAAUCCUAAUACAACAGCAUCAACAGCAACCACAACAUCUACUGUCAAUCCUAUUACAAUAGCAACAACAACCACAACAUCUACUGUCAAUCCUAAUACAACAGCAUCAACAGCAACCACAACAUCUACUGCCAAUCCUAUUACAACAACAGCAACAGCAACAACAACAACCACAACAUCUAUUGUCAAUCCUAAUACAACAGCAUCACCAGCAACCACAACAUCUACUGCCAAUCUUAAUACAACAGCAUCAACAGCAACCACAACAUCUACUGUCAAUCCUAAUACAACAGCAUCACCAACAACCACAACAUCUACUGCCAAUCCUAAUACAACAGCAUCAACAACAACCACAACAUCUAUUGUCAAUCCUAUUACAACAGCAACAACAACAACCACAGCAUCUACUGCCAAUCCUAAUACAACAGUAUCAUCAACAACAGCAACCACAACAUCUACUGCCAAGCCUAAUACAACAGCAUCAACAGCAACCACAACAUCUACUGUCAAUCCUAAUACAACAGCACCAACAGCAACCACAACAACAACCACAACAUCUACUGCCAAACCUAAUACAACUGUAACAACAACACCCACAACCACAACAACAACAACAACAACAACAAAAACAACAACAACAACAACAACAUCUACUGCCAAUCCUAAAACAACAGCAACAACAACCACAAUAACAACAGCAGCAACCACAACAGCAGCACCAGCACGUCCUCAGCCAACUGUUGCCAUACAGAUUGUCAUUAUAGAGGUGUUUGUUCCAGCACUGAAAGACCCUCAAACUCCGGAAUUUAAAAGCCUAGCCACAAAAGUAGAGACUAUGUUUGAUGAAGUCUAUAAGAAAAAGUUUGGACCUCGUUUCAUCAGGACCAUCGUGAUUGCUUUCAUAGCUGUUGCCAGGACCCGGGCAGACUCAAACGUACAGGCGGAGGUUAAGUUAGUGUUUAGUGAAGUGUCCACUGAACCAAUCCCCAGCAACACCGACAUUG